Molecule: ribosomal RNA, 1548 nt
Filed under: Escherichia coli
Lineage: Bacteria; Pseudomonadati; Pseudomonadota; Gammaproteobacteria; Enterobacterales; Enterobacteriaceae
Description: bacterial SSU rRNA
Rfam family: Bacterial small subunit ribosomal RNA
Source: RNAcentral
AAAUUGAAGAGUUUGAUCAUGGCUCAGAUUGAACGCUGGCGGCAGGCCUAACACAUGCAAGUCGAACGGUAACAGGAAGCAGCUUGCUGCUUUGCUGACGAGUGGCGGACGGGUGAGUAAUGUCUGGAAACUGCCUGAUGGAGGGAUAACUACUGGAAACGGUAGCUAAUACCGCAUAACGUCGCAAGACCAAAGAGGGGGACCUUCGGGCCUCUUGCCAUCGGAUGUGCCCAGAUGGGAUUAGCUAGUAGGUGGGGUAACGGCUCACCUAGGCGACGAUCCCUAGCUGGUCUGAGAGGAUGACCAGCCACACUGGAACUGAGACACGGUCAGACUCCUACGGGGAGGCAGCAGUGGGGAAUAUUGCACAAUGGGCGCAAGCCUGAUGCAGCCAUGCCGCGUGUAUGAAGAAGGCCUUCGGGUUGUAAAGUACUUUCAGCGGGGAGGAAGGGAGUAAAGUUAAUACCUUUGCUCAUUGACGUUACCCGCAGAAGAAGCACCGGCUAACUCCGUGCCAGCAGCCGCGGUAAUACGGAGGGUGCAAGCGUUAAUCGGAAUUACUGGGCGUAAAGCGCACGCAGGCGGUUUGUUAAGUCAGAUGUGAAAUCCCCGGGCUCAACCCGAACUGCAUCUGAUACUGGCAAGCUUUGAGUCUCGUAGAGGGGGGUAGAAUUCGGGUGUAGCGGUGAAAUGCGUAGAGAUCUGGAGGAAUACCGGUGGCGAAGGCGGCCCCCUGGACGAAGACUGACGCUCAGGUGCGAAAGCGUGGGGAGCAAACAGGAUUAGAUACCCUGGUAGUCCACGCCGUAAACGAUGUCGACUUGGAGGUUGUGCCCUUGAGGCGUGGCUUCCGGAGCUAACGCGUUAAGUCGACCGCACGGGGAGUACGGCCGCAAGGUUAAAAAACUCAAAUGAAUUGACGGGGGGCCCGCACAAGCGGUGGAGCAUGUGGUUUAAUUCGAUGCAACGCGAAGAACCUUACCCUCGUCUUGACAUCCACGGAAGUUUUCAGAGAUGAGAAUGUGCCUUCGGGAACCGUGAGACAGGUGCUGCAUGGCUGUCGUCAGCUCGUGUUGUGAAAUGUUGGGUUAAGUCCCGCAACGAGCGCAACCCUUAUCCUUUGUUGCCAGCGGUCCGGCCGGGAACUCAAAGGGAGACUGCCAGUGAUAAACUGGAGGAAGGUGGGGAUGACGUCAAGUCAUCAUGGCCCUUGACGACGGGGCUACACGUGCUACAAUGGCGCAUACAAAGAGAAGCGACCUCGCGAGAGCAAGCGGACCUCAUAAAGUGCGUCGUAGUCCGGAUUGGAGUCUGCAACUCGACUCCAUGAAGUCGGAAUCGCUAGUAAUCGUGGAUCAGAAAUGCCACGGUGAAUACGUUCCCGGGCCUUGUACACACCGCCCGUCACACCAUGGGAGUGGGUUGCAAAAGAAGUAGGUAGCUUAACCUUCGGGAGGGCGCUUACCACUUUGUGAUUCAUGACUGGGGUGAAGUCGUAACAAGGUAACCGUAGGGGAACCUGCGGUUGGAUCACCUCCUUACCUUAAA